GUCUGGGUAGUGUAGAGGUAUAAGCACUUGCCUACCACCGCAGAGACCCGGGUUCAAUCCCCGGGUCAGACG
RNAcentral lists this transfer RNA (72 nucleotides) under Anguilla anguilla (European eel). RNAcentral describes it as "tRNA-OTHER". Lineage: Eukaryota; Metazoa; Chordata; Actinopteri; Anguilliformes; Anguillidae. The record is from RNAcentral.